This 431-nucleotide ribosomal RNA is filed under the name uncultured bacterium. RNAcentral describes it as "partial 16S ribosomal RNA". It matches the Rfam family "Bacterial small subunit ribosomal RNA", at positions 29 to 507 of the family's 1533-position model. The record is from RNAcentral.
AACGAACGCUGGCGGCAGGCCUAACACAUGCAAGUCGAGCGCCCCGCAAGGGGCGCGGCGGACGGGUGAGUAACGCGUGGGAACGUACCCUUUGCUACGGAAUAGCCUCGGGAAACUGGGAGUAAUACCGUAUGUGUCCUUCGGGAGAAAGAUUUAUCGGCAAGGGAUCGGCCCGCGUUGGAUUAGGUAGUUGGUGGGGUAAUGGCCUACCAAGCCGACGAUCCAUAGCUGGUUUGAGAGGAUGAUCAGCCACACUGGGACUGAGACACGGCCCAGACUCCUACGGGAGGCAGCAGUGGGGAAUCUUAGACAAUGGGCGCAAGCCUGAUCUAGCCAUGCCGCGUGAGCGAUGAAGGCCUUAGGGUUGUAAAGCUCUUUCAGGGGGGAAGAUAAUGACUGUACCCCCAGAAGAAGCCCCGGCUAACUCCGUG